UGAGGAGAAGAAGAACUUUGUGUCUGGUCUUAUGGAAGGGAAAGCCAUACUUCUUUGCCUCAUGGUGAUUGCGCAGCUUGGAAAUUCCAUUCAUGUUGAGCAAUGCUUUACUGGAAUUGCAUUUGGAGCCAGUGCAUGCACGAAAUUAAAAUGUCGGUUAUCCUGCAUGAGAAAAUGGGGACCCGAAGUCUCGGAUUCUUACUGUAGGGAAGUCAUCCCAAACUUUUGGCACUGUGCCUGUGUCGUUUGUGACUCCUAGAACUGUACUAUGUCAUGAUGUUCAACGAUGGAUAAUGAUGUGGUCCAGUAAUAAAACCUUCUUGUGAGAGGCAUGCAAGUUCUAAUAA
Molecule: long non-coding RNA, 347 nt
Organism: Triticum urartu
Lineage: Eukaryota; Viridiplantae; Streptophyta; Magnoliopsida; Poales; Poaceae
Source: RefSeq, a predicted model, not a curated record